This 253-nucleotide ribosomal RNA is filed under the name uncultured bacterium. Its description in RNAcentral is "partial 16S ribosomal RNA". It matches the Rfam family "Bacterial small subunit ribosomal RNA", at positions 524 to 776 of the family's 1533-position model. The record is from RNAcentral.
UACGAAUGGGGCAAGCGUUGUUCGGAAUCACUGGGCUUAAAGGGUGCGUAGGCGGUCAAUUAAGUCAGUGGUGAAAUACGACAGCUCAACUGUCGAGGUGCCAUUGAUACUGGAUGACUUGAGUACAGACGAGGUAGGCGGAAUUGACGGUGUAGCGGUGAAAUGCAUAGAUAUCGUCAAGAACACCGAUAGCGAAGGCAGCUUGCUAGGCUGUAACUGACGCUGAGGCACGAAAGUGUGGGGAUCAAACAGG